Molecule: ribosomal RNA, 255 nt
Filed under: uncultured bacterium
Lineage: Bacteria
Description: partial 16S ribosomal RNA
Rfam family: Bacterial small subunit ribosomal RNA
Source: RNAcentral
UACGAAGGGGGGCUAGCGUUGCUCGGAAUGACUGGGCGUAAAGGGCGCGUAGGCGGACAGUUAAGUUGGGGGUGAAAGCCCGGGGCUCAACCUCGGAAUUGCCUUCAAUACUGGCUGUCUUGAGUGUGAGAGAGGUGUGUGGAACUCCGAGUGUAGAGGUGAAAAUUCGUAGAUAUUCGGAAGAACACCAGUGGCGAAGGCGACACACUGGCUCACUACUGACGCUGAGGCGCGAAAGCGUGGGGAGCAAACAGG